GAGUGGACCGGAGAAUCUCCAUUUUUAGAUUUCUCCCUCUACGGUUACAUAUCGUGCGGCUUGGGUUUUAAUUUUGCGUGCCGCCCAUUUCUCGGCGGGCAGCGUUCCGUCGGCUAUGUAGGCUCGGAUUGGCUCUAGCCAUGGGCUGUCGCAACCGUAUUCCGGCUGAUCCAUCUUUCCUUCUGGUGGAUCUUUGAUUUCCUCCGCAUCUUCGAUUUGUCCCUAAAUCAGAUUGGUGAUCACCGGCGGUCCGAUGCUCGGAUGUUCAAUGAAUUCCACUAGGAUUACCCGUUUUAGUCCUGGAUCCGAGCUUGACGCGAGCGCGGCCAAGGCAUCUGCCUGGGUGUUUUCCGUGCGAGGAAUUCUAGUGAGGGCGAAGUGGUUGAAGUCUUGGGCCAGGUCCUGGAC
Molecule: long non-coding RNA, 408 nt
Filed under: Brassica napus (rape)
Lineage: Eukaryota; Viridiplantae; Streptophyta; Magnoliopsida; Brassicales; Brassicaceae
Description: long non-coding RNA (BNAP_LNC021424)
Source: RNAcentral